UGCUCCGCCGUGAGGUGCUCCACUCCUUCCUCCGCCGUCGAGGCUGAGCUCGUCCAGGGCCUCAUCACCUCCGCCGUGAGGUGCUCCACUCCUUCGUCGUCAAGCUCUCGCCCCAGGGGUGCGCUAGUGCCAGAUGCGGCGAGCCAGCAGAUCAAGGAAACCGCCCGUGGCCGCCCCAGGCGUUACAUCUUGCACUGGCUGCUGCUGGUGACAAGCAAGAACAACCAAAGUAAAGAAGUCUACAUAAUUGCCAAGAAUCAUCUUCAUCCAUGGGGAUCCGGUAAAGCAGCAGCCCCUUGGCUGGGUAACCUACUGUGAAGCAUCAGGUCAGCAGUGAAGGAGAUCUGAGUUCGAAGCAAAUUUGCCGCGAAUUCUCUCCGGAAAUCAUUCGAGUGGCUGGAUUUUGAAGCGCAGCCAUGGGAUCGGAGGAUUUUGU
RNAcentral lists this unclassified non-coding RNA (436 nucleotides) under Zea mays. RNAcentral's name for it is "misc RNA Zm00001eb181250". The record is from RNAcentral. Lineage: Eukaryota; Viridiplantae; Streptophyta; Magnoliopsida; Poales; Poaceae.